UGGUCACCUGACACUGGGUGCCAAAGGACACCAGCAUGGUGAGAGUCAAUGCCGGGCUAAAGUCUGGGACUUGAGGGCUUCCAUCCUGUCCCAAGGUUCUUGGAAGAGACAUUGCCAGGAGACUGGAAUUCAUUCCCUAGCAUCCAUAUCAAGUGAGUCACAAUGAUGGUAACUACAGCUUUAGUGGGCCUGAUGCCCUCUUCUGGUCUUUGGCCACUUGCACACACCUGCAUGCGUUUGAAACAAACAAAAAUAAACAAAAUUUUAAACGGCAA
Long non-coding RNA from Mastomys coucha (southern multimammate mouse), 275 nucleotides. RefSeq lists it as uncharacterized. The record is from RefSeq and is a predicted model, not a curated record. NCBI's taxonomy places the organism in Eukaryota, Metazoa, Chordata, Mammalia, Rodentia, Muridae. The transcript has 2 exons.